AAAUUGUUCUCCUGGUUCUGUUCACUCACUUUCUAUCAGAACGUAGAAAUCUCCCAAGAUUUCUUUCAAACUUUCCAUUUCAUAAUAUUUACAUACCCAGACUUGUUCAGCCAUCUCCAAAUUGAAGGGUGGCUAAUUCUUUGCUAUCUUAAGAAAGUUAUAAAUAUUUUUGUACAUACUUAGAGAGUUUUUCCUUAUAAUUAAUUCCUCCCUUAAUCUGUCCUUUUAAUUAUCCCUUCCUCUUUCUCCUCUUUCCCUCUCUUUUUUGAGUGAAAUAUAUUUCUGUACCCAACUGUUUCUAUGUGUAUUAUUCCAUCAUUUUACUAUUUUAGAUGAGAUGAAAGCUGACUGAUUCCUCUUUCCAUUAUUUUCUUAAGAUCAUUAAUAUACAACAGAAUCACUUCCAAGCCUUGCCUAUUUAGGCUCCUGUGAGAGAAUAAUAUUGGAGAACAACCUGCAAACAGAUGCAAUGGAUGGAACUUUGAAGAGCUGUCCAUCAAGGAGCAUUCCAGAGGACAAUGUGACCUGGAGAAAAUCCAAACAAACACUGAAAAGGAAUGCAGUAGAGAGAGAGUCAUGAGAGCAAUCUGAUUGGAAGUCUGAUUUGGUUUCCUCAUCUGGAAAAUGAAAGGGUGCCAAAAACUUGGAAACACUUUUAUGAAGCGAUAUGAAGGGAAGAGAGCAGAACCAGGAGAAUGGUGUACACAGUAACAACAAUAACAUAUGAUGAUCAACUGUGAAAGACAACCAUUAUCAACAAAGCUAGGAUCCAGGACAGCUCCAAGAGAUUCAUGACAAAAUAAGAUAUCUGCUGCUAUAGAAGGAACAGAUGGAAUCCAAAUAAAAACUGAAACAUACCAUUCUUUACUUUAUUU
Molecule: long non-coding RNA, 875 nt
Filed under: Monodelphis domestica (gray short-tailed opossum)
Lineage: Eukaryota; Metazoa; Chordata; Mammalia; Didelphimorphia; Didelphidae
Description: lncRNA (ENSMODG00000034386.2)
Source: RNAcentral